RNAcentral lists this ribosomal RNA (255 nucleotides) under uncultured bacterium. RNAcentral's name for it is "partial 16S ribosomal RNA". It matches the Rfam family "Bacterial small subunit ribosomal RNA", at positions 524 to 776 of the family's 1533-position model. The record is from RNAcentral.
GACAGAGGCCCCAAGCGUUAGGCGGAAUCACUGGGCUUAAAGCGUGUGUAGGCGGACGCCUAAGUGUCUUGUGAAAUCCCACGGGCUCCACCCGUGGAACUGCUGGGCAUACUGGGCGUCUUGGGCCAACUAGGGGCAGCCGGAACAAGCGGUGGAGCGGUGAAAUGCGUAGAUAUCAGGAAGAACACCCGUGGCGAAAGCGGCUCUCUGGAACGGUACUGACGCUGAGACGCGAAAGCGUGGGGAGCGAACAGG